This 76-nucleotide microRNA precursor is filed under the name Mesocricetus auratus (golden hamster). Its description in RNAcentral is "miRNA (ENSMAUG00000005506.1)". The record is from RNAcentral. Lineage: Eukaryota; Metazoa; Chordata; Mammalia; Rodentia; Cricetidae.
CUACGUAUCCCUGGAUGGUCUGGCUCUCAAUAUGUAGACUAGGCUGUCCUCAAACUUGAGAUAAUUCUCCUGCCCC